This 253-nucleotide ribosomal RNA is filed under the name uncultured bacterium. RNAcentral's name for it is "partial 16S ribosomal RNA". It matches the Rfam family "Bacterial small subunit ribosomal RNA", at positions 524 to 776 of the family's 1533-position model. The record is from RNAcentral.
UACGUAGGUGGCAAGCGUUGUCCGGAUUUACUGGGCGUAAAGGGUUUGUAGGCGGUUUGUUAAGUCUGGUGUGAAAUCUCCCGGCUCAACCGGGAGGGGUCAUCGGAUACUGGCAGACUAGAGACGGGUAGAGGAAAGCAGAAUUCCCGGUGUAGCGGUGAAAUGCGUAGAUAUCGGGAGGAAUACCAGUGGCGAAGGCGGCUUUCUGGGCCUGUUCUGACGCUGAGGAGCGAAAGCGUGGGGAGCAAACCGG